Molecule: ribosomal RNA, 301 nt
Filed under: uncultured bacterium
Lineage: Bacteria
Description: partial 16S ribosomal RNA
Rfam family: Bacterial small subunit ribosomal RNA
Source: RNAcentral
CAGUCGCCACGGUAAUUCGUAGGUGGCAAGCGUUGUCCGGAAUUAUUGGGCGUAAAGGGCUCGCAGGCGGUUUCUUAAGUCUGAUGUGAAAGCCCCCGGCUCAACCGGGGAGGGUCAUUGGAAACUGGGAAACUUGUGUGCAGAAGAGGAGAGUGGAAUUCCACGUGUAGCGGUGAAAUGCGUAGAGAUGUGGAGGAACACCAGUGGCGAAGGCGACUCUCUGGUCUGUAACUGACGCUGAGGAGCGAAAGCGUGGGGAGCGAACAGGAUUAGAUACCCGCGUAGUCCCUGUCUCUUAUAC